This 210-nucleotide unclassified non-coding RNA is filed under the name fungal sp. Its description in RNAcentral is "partial internal transcribed spacer region". The stretch from base 1 to 46 matches the Rfam family "Eukaryotic small subunit ribosomal RNA", at positions 1786 to 1831 of the family's 1831-position model. The record is from RNAcentral. Lineage: Eukaryota; Fungi.
AAGUCGUAACAAGGUUUCCGUAGGUGAACCUGCGGAAGGAUCAUUAAUGGGAUUGGACCUUUUCGGUCUUAACCUUCAACCCAAUGUCUUUAUUACUUGAUUCUUUGAUGGGGGAACUCAUCAGAAGAUUUCUUGAACUCUUUGAAAUCUGUACUCUGAAAUAAAAAAAGAAAUAAAUUAAAACUUUCAACAACGGAUCUCUUGGUUCUG